Long non-coding RNA from Mesocricetus auratus (golden hamster), 3155 nucleotides. RefSeq lists it as uncharacterized. The transcript is spliced from 2 exons. NCBI's taxonomy places the organism in Eukaryota, Metazoa, Chordata, Mammalia, Rodentia, Cricetidae. The record is from RefSeq and is a predicted model, not a curated record.
AGGCUGGUCUUGAACUCAGAGAUCUACCUGCCGCUGCCUCCUGAGUACUUGGAUUAAAGGCAUGCAAUACCACCAUCCAGCUGCAUCAUAUUUUAUACCUAUUGCUCUGAUGUGUACAUUCAUUGCCAAAACCCUUAAUAUUGGCUUUUGCUGUAUCCAGCAUAUUUUUGUGUAAUUCCUUUGCUUACAUUUUUAUUUCUUUUGUGUAUGUGCCAUAACAUUUAGAGAGGUGUAUAAAAAGGCACCUUGUAGGAAUCUGUUCUGCCCUGGGGAUCAAACUCAAGCUGUUAGGCUUAGGGGCAAAUGUCUUUACUCUCUAAACUAUUUUGCCAAUCCAUAUAUUUCUAACUUUUUAUUCAGGGAUCUUUUAAAUCUCACCUCUGACUAUGAAGUCAAUAUUAUAUUUACCUGUUUCCUCAAUUGCUACUUGUUCACAUGUUUUCCAAAGUUUCUCAUGCUGUUGAUUUCUGUUUUCCCUGAUAUGCCAAAUAUUAACACUUUUUGUAUUCAUUAACACUUAGUGUUAGACUGACACAAAUAAUGCAUUUCUUACGGGAUCCACCCCAAUCCUUUGUAAAAAUUAAACAGCUGUUACUUCAUGAGUUCUAUUCAUUUAUUAUUGUAUAUCCUGACAAAAGUUUCCACUCCCUCUACUCACGGUACCUCUGCUGCCUCCCCCUGCACUGCUCUCAAUUCACUCCUCCUCUCUUUCUGUUCAGAAAGGGGCAUGUCUCCCAUGAGUCUCAAAAAAUCCUGGCAUAUCAAACUGUGGUAAGACUAAGUACCUCCCAUUGUAUUCAGGUUGAGCAAGGCAACCCAGUGUGAGGAAUUGGUUCCAAAGAGCCAGCCAAAGAGUUAGGAGCCGCACAAAUAGACCAAGCUACACAACUCUCACAAAUACAUCCAGAGGGCUUAGGUCAAUCCUAUGUAGGCCCCUGUUGUUGGUUCAGAUUCUGUGAGUUCCUAUGAGCCAAGUUGUUUCUGUGAAUUUUCUUGUAAUGUCCUUGACCCCUCUGGCUCUUAUAAUCCUUCUUCCCUCUCUUCAACAGUUUUCCCCAAGCUCAGCCUAAAGUUUGGCUGUGGGUCUCUGCAUCUGUUUCCAUCAGUCACUGGAUGAAGGCUUUCUGGUAAUAAUCAUGAUAGUCACCAAAAUGAUCACAGGAACUGGCAAGUUCAGGCUACAUAUCCACUGUUGCUGGGAGUCUUAGCUGGGGUCAUCCUUGUAGAUUUGUGGGAGUUUCCCUUGUAUCGGGUUCCUGCCUGUCCCUGAACCUCCCUCCCCCACACUUUCAAAUACUCUCUUUUAGUACUCUCCCCCUCCACCCAAACAUCCCCAACCAGAUCUCUCAAGUUCCAACCCUACCUGCAAACAGUCCACCCAGGAGACCUCUUCUAUUUCCUCUUCCUGGGGAGAUUCAUGCAUGCCCCCUCCUCCCGCCCUCUUUGUUACAUAGCCUCUCUGAGAUUGUAGUAAUUGAUGAGAUCUUUGAGGAUUGAAAACAAUGCCUUUUAACCUCUGAAUCAAUGUCUGGUUUUCACCAUGAGCUUUCUCCUUCUUUAGUUCAGAUCAGUGUGAGGAUCUCUCUUUUUAUUGGGAGCCCCAAAGCUCUAAUUCCCUUCAAUGACUCCUCUCACACAAAGCUUUCUCCUAGAAAGUAAACUAUUUGGAGAGAUGUUGGAGUAAGUUUACUUGUGUCAUAUACUUUAAAACACCUACCUCUCCUUUUUUUCUGUAUUUCAAAAUCUUCCCUCAGUGACACUCCAAACAUACUCUAACACACUACUUCUUUCCUGUACUCUCCAGCUUAGUUCAAAUGCAAAUCCUACACCAAAACAGUAGACCAAAAUGCCUCUAGAUGCUGACCAAAGUCAUAUCGUACCCUCAUUUCAAAGGCACUUUCCAGUCACUUUGGUAAUUUGGGCAUGUAUAAGUAACUCUAAAUAUACACAGGGAUGUCCACAAAGCUAAACAGGAUUAAUGAAAUCUAUCGUGUUUUAUAAUUAAGUUUUUGUGUAUUUGCUUACUUUUUUCUAUUUACCUUAAUCAUCCACUAACAUAAACUCCUUAUUCAUCUUUCAUGUAAUAAAUAUUAAGAAUCCAGUGUGCCACAAGAGAACUAAGUUCCGGGAGAGAGCAGAGACAUUAAAUUUCCCUGCCAACAAGGGAAGAAUUCAGUCAUUUCUAACUCAUCAGGUCCUACCUCCUACAAAUUGUCCAAGAAAGAGGUCUCAUGAUCUUCACGGGCACCUAAAAUAAAAAUUCUGGCUCAAGAUCAACAACAAUGAAUGCAAGUUUCAGGUCCUCCUAUCAAAUCUGUGUCAAUCGGUAGAUUCUAUACUUCCUGAUCAUCAUUACUUCCCUGGUUGAGCCAGCAGGAAACAAAUUUUCUCUGGCCCCUUGGCUUCCAUAUAUGUGGGAAUGACUUCUUGCUUUACAUCUUCAACCUGGCUGUGGCUAACCUCAUAUUCUGCUGCCCUGUUAUUGCUUCUUCUGAUAAAUGUUUUCAUGUUCUUCCAACACUUCUAUUUUUACAUCUGCCAUCUUCAACAAUAUAACAGUGAUUCCUUAUACCACAGGACUGAGGAUAUUCAGUGCUAUUAGCACCAUACACCACACGGUCUUACGGCCCAUAUGAUACCACUGCCACUAAAACAUACCAACAGUUUCGUAUGUCCUGAUCUGGGUCCUGUCCAUGUUGUCAAUGAUACAGUGGUGAUGCACUAAUAUUUGGGGGUUGUUAUUAAAGAGUUAGAUUGAUUUUAUCACAGCUGUGUGGUAAAUGUCUUUAUUUCUGACUCCUUACUGGUUCCUAUUAUGCUGACAUAAUUUCUCUUCAUCACUUUUGUCAUUAUUCAGCUAUAGUUAUCCCGUCCUAUGUCAACAGCUGUGACAACCCCUUGUUUACUUCUUGAUGGCUCCUUUAGACCACUGGUGGCAGUAAGGAACCAUGAAUCUGGUUCUCCAGAGGAGUUUGUAGGAUAUUCCUGGGAUGGAUGAAGAAAGAGACAGCCAUCCUCAGGCAAUUCCUGAGAUAUCAGGAUGCUGAGCAAGUGGAGUGAUACAGAACCUUUGGUGCAGUCAGAUACAGAGAUUGUCAUCAGAAAUAAGAAUGCCUCUCACCCUUUGGACAUUAUCAAUAAAUUUCUCAACUUUC